RNA transcript from Strongylocentrotus purpuratus (purple sea urchin), 8916 nucleotides. It is a transcript of the gene named sodium- and chloride-dependent glycine transporter 1-like, with no coding region annotated. Lineage: Eukaryota; Metazoa; Echinodermata; Echinoidea; Camarodonta; Strongylocentrotidae. The transcript has 15 exons. The record is from RefSeq and is a predicted model, not a curated record.
AUUCGGUAUGGUUGAAGAACACGGACAAAGGACUUGAAUCGUCCACCUCCAGCCCUGCACUUCUGUUUGCAUUGAACCGCUCAAAACCCCAUUUAUAGACCUCCCUUAGGAAUUGUAAAGGUUCAAAGGGAAUCCUUUGAAUUCUUGGAAGGAUAUAGUGCUUCGCAAGGGAGGAUAUUAUUCGUUCUGAUAAUACAUCUUGGUGCACAGAACUAUAUACAGAGAGGGAGAGGGAAUCUCAAUGCUGCACUAUUCCGACUCCCUGUAUUAAACUGUAAAGAACUGCUGUCUUUGGGAUAUCUUAACUGCUGGACGAUCUGAGGGUCAAAGCAGGGAGGUGAGACUUUACAUGCCCUGGUCAAAGGUUCCAUUUAUUGACUGCUUUUUGAAACUGCAAGAAAUCCUCCCGAUCAUCGAGCUUGAUGAUCAGAUGGUUGACGUUUGGCAACUUUUCGACUGCUGUGUGAACCUGUUAUGGAAUCUUGACUUCAAAAUUUAAUUGUUGGGUGAUUUGAGGAUUAACGUUUUGCUCACUUGAAUGAAAUAUUUUCCAAUGCUGUGUGAAACUAAGAAAUCCCCAUAGGGCCUCUUUAACCACAAGUCUUCAUGAUCAGAGGUUGAUAUUCGGAACUUGACUGCUGUAUGAAGCUGUGAGGAAUCACGAUCUUGGAUCUGUAUAACCGUCGCGCUGGAUGAUCUGAGGGUUAAAUAGCCGGUAACAUCAUCAUCUCAAUUCCCACAGAACAGUAUAUACUUAAGGACUGCUUGACACGAUGAUCAACUACAGCAUGGAGGUGGUCGUAUCCACCGAUACGGACGACGUCGAACUCCCCGAAGACAACAUGGGCGUGGUCAACCCAAUCCCCAUCGAUAUCGAGGACGAGGAAAGACUCAAGGUAUCGCCGUCGAGGAAGUCACGAUUGUCUGCCGCUGACCUCAUCAGCGUGUCCUCAUCCCUACCGGACUCGUACCUACCCCAAUACCCCGACGUCUCGAUCGCGCCGUCGAUCACCAGCUCGAUCAAGCCACAGAUCUCCAAGUCGGUCGAAGACCUCCUGGUCAAUGCCGACCUGGAGGACUGUCGGAACCGGUUGUCGAGACACGGGUACGACUCGAUGAGGAGUCUGAGGCUGGCAUCCAAGGAUGAUUUAGUCGAGAUAGGCUUGCCCAGGGGCUAUGCAGGACUUCUGGUCUAUGCAGUAGCCCAGGAAGAUAAAGGCCAUGGUCCCGGCAAGGGAUUGGCUCAGAUAGAAACAAUAAAGCUUGAAGACCAAUACCUUCCAUCACAAGUUUUAACAUCAAGCGAGGCAAUCUCCGCCAUGAGUGAAAAGGGUGACUACAAGGUGGUGCCGGGAGGCGGAGUGGACGAUGCCAUCGGGGGCGGCGGCGGUAAAGACCUCGCGGUCAAACCCCUCGAUUCGAAGACCGCACCUGACCGAGAGGGGUGGGGGAAGAAGUUGGAUUUCCUGCUGGUCUGUAUCGGCUAUGCCGUCGGGCUCGGCAACAUCUGGCGCUUUCCCUACCUGUGCUAUACCCACGGAGGAGGGGUAUUCCUCAUCCCCUAUUUCAUCAUGCUGUUCCUGGCCGGUAUGCCACUGAUGUUCCUGGAGCUGGCCUUCGGUCAGUAUGGAGGGGAAGGUCCAAUCACCAUCUGGAAGGCAUGUCCACUGUUUGCAGGUAUCGGAUGGGCCAUGGUGAUGAUCUCCGGCAUGGUGGCCAUCUACUACAACAUCAUCAUGGCGUGGACCGCGCUCUUCUUCGUGCGUUCCUUCACAUCGGAAGUCCUUGGAAAACAUGCAACAACACGUGGAACACGGACGCGUGUCAGGAGAACUCAUCUGUUGCUAUGGAGAUGGGAUUGAACAUCACUAAGCGACCGGCCCAGGAGUUUUACUAUAACUACGUAUUGGAUGUGGACGGUCACAACCUGGACGACAUGGGAUCCAUGAAGUGGGAACUGGUGAUGUGUCUGCUUUUCUCCUGGAUCGUCAUCUUCUGCUGCAUCUGCAAGAGCGUGAAGAGCUCCGGAAAGGUGGUCUACUUCACUGCGACCUUUCCCUAUAUAAUCCUAACUAUCCUCCUCAUACGAGGGGUAACUCUACCUGGAGCUAGUAUCGGGAUCGACUAUUACCUCUCCCCUCGCUGGGAGAAACUGAAGGAAACUGCUGUAUGGGGAGCAGCAGCAACUCAGAUCUUCUAUUCCUUGGGACCUGCGUGGGGCGGAGUUCUCACCUUCUCAAGUUACAACAAGUUCAACAAUAACUGUCUUAUAGAUGCUAUCUGUAUCCCGAUCAUCAACUGCUUGAGUAGUUUCUACGCAGGCUUCGUCGUCUUCUCGACGCUAGGGUUCAUGUCUUAUAAGACCGGUAUCUCCAUUGACAACGUCGCGGUCAAAGGUCCUGGUCUUGUUUUCGAGACGUAUCCGGAAGCAAUCUCCCAGAUGCCUGCAGCCCCUUUCUGGUCCAUUCUAUUCUUUUUCAUGUUCUUCCUUGUUGGACUUGAUACACAGUUUGGGAUGGUGGAGACGGUUGUGAGUGGACUGACGGAUUACUACCCCAACCAUCUGAGAAAACAUGGCACCUUAACAGCCCUCGUAGUGUGUGUCGUUUUCUUUCUUCUAGGACUACCCAUGGCCUCCCAGGGAGGAAUUUAUAUGUUUGAGUUGAUCAACUGGUACAGUUGUUGGAUAUCCCUCAUGUUGGUGGGCGUGUUCGAGUGUGUGGCUGUUGCUUACUUCUACGGUGUGCGUCGUUUCACGAAUGAUAUCAGACGCAUGAUUGCUGACUAUACGUGGAUGACACCUGUAGUCACUCCGCUACUCUACUGGUAUAGUAGCUGUUGGUUGGUUAUUACUCCUUCCAUUAUCGUGUUCAUCUCGGUCUUUGGAAUGGUAAACUACGUUCCCGUUUACUUUGGGGACUACGUUUACCCCAAAUGGAGUGAGAUGCUCGGCUGGCUCAUGGCCGUGGUACCUCUGUUCACGAUCCCGCUCGUGAUGAUCAUCAAGUUAUUCUUUGCUUCGGAAGGAGAGACUUAUGCUCAGCGAUUCAUGUUUCUCCUCCGCCCGACUUCUCAGUGGGAGAACAAAGAGAGACAGUUUCAAGGCAAGAAGAAUCCCAAAAGCGGAUUCGGCAAAGACGUGGAGCUCGACUCCAUCAAACAGAUGUACGCGUGAGAUUUGGACAGGAGGAGAGGACAAUGGAAGGAGUAUUUUCUCCCGGCUGGUAACUGGUAGGAAAGAAAGGAACUUGCUGGUUUCGAGACGAUAGGUGUUAGUUAAUACGGGAAUAUUGUUCUCCCGAUUUACGUGUGUAAGUUAGAAGCGAAAGUUAUGCUAUCGGUGUUAUAACGGCAAGGGUUGUAAAAAGACGGGAAUAUGUUUUUCCCGAUUUUGAUUUGUGUUGCGGUAAGAGAAGACGGGAGUAUUUGUUCUCCCGGUUUGUAAGAUAUAAGUGAGAAUAUUAUUCUCUCUGUUUUUAGGAUAGAAGAGAGGAUUAUUCUCUCGCUUUUAGGAUAAGAUGGGGUAUUAUUAUACUCCUGAGUUAUUAAGAAAUCAAGGAGUAUUAUACUUCUGGUUUUUGGUGCCAAAAACUGGAGAUUUUUAAAUCUCGAUCAUGGAAGGAGGGAGUUUUUUUUUUUUUUUUUUUACAUCAACUCCAAGAAGGGAAAGGAAGGGACGGGUGUGGGCAGGAGAUAUGGUUUGGGGGAAAGAAGGGACCUUUUUUAUCCCUGAAUUGGGAUAGGUCGGAGUACUAACACCUGAUCAGGUUUAAGGAUGAGAAAACUAUAUUCCCAGGCGGGAUAAAAAUGGAGUUAUAUUAUUCUACCGAUGAGUGUGAUGAUGGUGGAAAAGAAUUUUAUUUUAUUUUAUCUAUCAUGGGGAAAGAGAGUAGGAUCAUACUCCAGAUAAUAGAUCAACAUAAUAUUAGGAGCAGGAUAUUCUUCCGAUUUAAAGGAAAAGGGGCGCAUUAUACUUAUGGUAAGGGGGUAUAAAAAAUGUGCAGAUAUACUCCCGAUAAAGAGAUCAAAUCGAGGAAGAAGGUUGGGAUAGUACUACUCUGUGCGCAAGUGGUAGAAAGAAAGAGCCCACAUUAUUAAAACGAAUGGUAGGGGCUGUUGGAGGUAGUCCAGAAUCUGUUCAGGUUUUAUUUUCUUUCUUUUUCCGCGAUCUCUCCCCUACCCGUUGCAAGCCGAUAAUCUGUGUGAAAUCGAUCGAUUUUUGUUAUUUCGUUUUGGCUUGCUGGGCGUAGCUUACAAAUUCGGGACUCACGCCAUCUUCGGCCUGCAGCGAGUAGGUGUAAUGAUCCAUCUUGUUUAGUGGAGAUCGUAAAAAUUUAAUCGGCCAGAUUCUGGACUGGGGGGGGGGGGGGGUGUUGAUUCAUCUAAAGUUUUGUUAAACUUCUUUUACAUUCAGAGAGUCUGAGCUUUACAUUUAUUGCUUUGCAUAUUGUAUAUUUCAUCAUGUUAUUAUUUAAUCGAUUUUCCAUGCUGUGUUUCGUGUUCCAUUUGUCAUGUAAAAAGUGUAGUUCGAUACAAAUUGGUUACGUUGUUAUUUAAACGUUCAUAUAGUGGGGAGAGGGAGGGGCACUACCAUAGAGGGUCAAUAUGCGAGAGGGGCACUGCGAUUGGUGUGUGCAACUCUUCGUAGACGGUGAUUCUUAUUAUUCUAAGAAAUACAUUUUAUUAAAAUGUGUGAGGUGAUAUUAUGAUGAAGAUUUUAUCUUAGGUGCCUUUAAUGAUACCUAAUCUCUAGUGCAAUUAAAGAUUCCUAUACUAGAAAUCUUACUUUGCUGAAUUAAUGGUUUUUAUACUGAAAACGGUGCCACGUUAGUGUACAUAAGCGGAGGUUGUAGUUACAUGUAAUUGUUUGCUUUAUCUUUAAAAAAAAAGAGGAUGGUUGUUAUGCUUAAUGUACGAUAUGUCGUAUGAAUCAUGAAAUAAUAUAUGUACAUGUACUUCCAGUAAUUGCUUACAUUUAGUCUAAAUGACACAUAUUAAGUUCAAAUGACACAUGCCAAGGUGAACAAACUUUUGAUUCUACCUCACACUAUCCCACCCGACAUUUUACUUUUAAGUUUAUAUUGAUAUUUCCUGCCACUUUUGGAGAAUUUCGAGAACCUGGUUCAGGCUAUCGUUAUCAUCAUUUGAAAUUCGUCAAAGAUAAAACGAAGAAAACCGUGAAUACAAGACAACAGUAAGAAGAGGAAGAGAUUGGAAGGAAUAAGAAACUAUUUAUUAUGAUCACUGUGUGAUUUUGAAGAAAUCUUGCUCCACAUAUGCAUUCUCGAAAUCUGUAUUAAAAAAAAAUGUAUUUUUAAUUUAAGGAGAUAUUACAUUAUCGUGCAUACAAUACUUCCAUAUUUCCAUAAUUGUCAUCAUUACCAACAAUGACGUGGCUGGUGAUUUUACGAUGAUACGCACACGCACAUUUCAAAGCUAAGUCAUAAUACUUGACAUGACGUCAUAAUGCAUUGUCGCACAAUUUGCGUUCAUGUAGUGGCUAAGUCGACGAAGUACAGUAUCAUGUAUACUUAACGUUUAUGAUCACAGAGUAAUCCAUAUAAAAUUAUAUAUAUACAUUUACGUGAUAUUUUAUAAUAACCGGGUGAUCGGUGCCUUCGGAAUAUCAUGAAAAUAAUAUAAUUUUUGAUCAGGGUAUUAGUAAUUAAUCGAAUUCUCCAUUAUGCAAUAUUUUAAAUGUAUUAGUUAAAUUAAACUAAAAUUUAAAAGUUGUACUGAGGAUCAUUACAACCAGGCCAAGGAACGACAAAAGAGAUGAUGAGGUGAUCUAAAUCAUAUUUCUAAUUUCCCUAAACUUUCUAAGCAGUACUUGACAUUUCCUCAGGCUUAUGGCUGCGAUAAACUACACUACCCCCCCCCCCCCCCCCACCCCCCCCCCCUCAACAAAUAAAAAGGUUCAGUGUCCGAACAUGAACACGCAAUCUCUGGUAUACACAAAACAGUAUUUGAAGGAAGUUUUGAUCAAUAUUAAUGAUAUAUUCCAUUCUUUACUCGAGAUAUAUAGUUCUGGCUCAUCAUUACCCCUGAGUAAUGAAAAUGUAGAUGACAUGAACGGUGCUCUAUCCAAAAUCCACCAUUGUGAAGAUUACUUUCACUCAGUAAAAGUAGUUUGAAAGCCACCAUGAAUUCCUAUGCAAAUUUGAAACUGUGUUUUAACUUUUGUUCGCUUUAGCAUUUACUCGUGCAUUAAUUUUGCCCUGUUGUGAUUAUUGUUCAGAGCAAAUCGUCUACAGUCUUACUUGUUCCAUUCGGUUGUUAUUAGACAUUUUGGUAGUGUGCUGUUUUGUGUGGUGAUGAGGUUGUCUAGGACACUCGCUUUACGUUCUGUGCGUGUCGUUGUUCACGCGGCCAAUUUGUUCGAAGCGAACUUCAGCCAUCAAGAAUAUAUAUUUUUGUCGUAUCACGUUCUCUACUCGUGGCGGAGGCCUGAGCCAGAGCAGCAAGUAUAUCUUGCGCAACGGCAACUUGGAAUAUUUCCAAAAUGUUUUUGCGCUUUUGCGAAACUAGACAAUCUAGCCGAUGUGUUAGGAGUUUUAAAAACAAACCAAAAAACAAGAGAGAAGUAGAAAGAGCUAGAACUGUUUAGAACAUCCAAAGUGACGCAUUGUGACUUCGGCAUUAACUAACGAUUUUUCUUCCAACGGUAGAGGGAGACAGAGCUCAGUUGCUUUCCUGGAUCUGUCUUAAGACCUACCAGAACUUUUAAAUACCGUAACAAAUGUUUAAAACCAAAGAUAAUUAUAAUCAAGUCUUUCCUGUCAUCUUAUGUAUCACGGACUAAAAUGAUUCUACGCUCGAAUUUAAUCAUGACUGGUGAUUAUUUGUGUUUGUUUGUUUAUUUAUGACAGUAAUGUUGUUUAUAUUUUGAGGUAAGGUUGAUUUAUGAUUUCACCCAGUGUUAAAGCCAAAGAUGUAUGGACCACCGUUAAGAAUUGUAUGAAUGUAUUGCCUUGUUUAUUAUUUAAUAGUCAUGGAAUUAUUACCCAUUUAUUUAAUUUAUUUUAAUCAAAGACGCUCUCAGUUGUAUAUACAGUUAACAUUAAAAUAGUCUUACAAGUCUGUGCUAUUGGAUUUGGUUUAAUAUGCAGUUAUUGCCCGUAUGUAGUCCAGGAAAUCGAGAUUUAUUAAGUGUAUUAUUUAUUUUUUUAUUUAUCAGAAUGGAUGCAAAAUGUCGGUUCUUUUAAAAGGCAGGCAAUUAUAACAUAAUUUUUAUUUCAGAAUUUCAAUUUCUCGUGAUGUUUGUAGAGUAUUAGCGUCGUUUUAGCAAGUGUCUUUGUUGGUUUGAGUAUAUAAGUGUAUCGAUAAGAAUUAGGACACUUCAGGUCAUAUUCUAGUUAUUAAGUUAAAUCCGACUUUGGAUAACUUAGACUGCAGACUACACAACUUCCAUUGUUAAACCCGAAUUUGAACAAAAGCGUAAGCCCAGUGACGGGUUUAAAUUUGAGUAUGAAUCGGGCCAUCGAUGUUAUAAUGAUAUGUCACAUGAAUUGCCAAAGUUAGUGGAAUAUCCUUAAUGAAGACACUCGAAUACAUGGGGGGGGGGGGGGGUUGGGAGGGGGCGUUGAGGCGUUGUUUCAACUGAUGUGUCAUAAUAUAUAUUGAUUCAUGGGGUAGAAUAUGGAUAUAUUUAUUUAUUUUUUAAAUGUUUGAAGUGGUUGAAGAGCCUAGUUUUAUGAAGUUACAUUGUGUGGAGUUCAUGAAUUCUCACCCACCGCUAUUUAUGAUUCUUCCCUCUCUCCCAGUCUUUCUCUUUUAUUUUCAUCUGUUCCCUUCCAAUUUCAUCGUUUUCUAUCCGUUUUCCCUAUAAUUCAUGUUCUACCAUAAUGUUGUGUUGUAUGCAUCCAUUCAUGUUUUACAAAACAUCAACUCUAUUAAGUUAUCAAUUUUUUACACUCCUGAAGGAAGAUGUAUCUUUAUGUCUCACUUAUUCUCACCUAUUCUCACAUAUUCGUAAUUAUAUUCACAAUGUAUUACACAGUCUCGUUUUAAGUUGGCAAAAUAUACUGUACACUGACACCCAUUCCAUUCGUAGUUCAAUAUCCUAUCGUAAUUUUCAAAAAUAUUUUAUUAAUAAAGUCUUAUUCUCCUUUUCAAGCAUUUACUAGGGCAAUUUUAUAGUUUUCAUAGUUUUCAUAUUUCAGCUCAUUUUUUUGAAAUUUUGAUUUAAGAGGGGCGGGGGGGGGGCUGGAGGGCUUUUUAAGCGUUAAAAAAGUGCAUCGAAGUUGUAGGAACCCUCGGGAUGAGUGACGAUUGAUAUUGUAUCGCCUGGCUGGAAUGAUCCCCAGGGAGUGGAGAAUAUGCUCAUAUUUUAUGCGGGGAAAGCCGGAAUCCGAUAAUCGGGGUAAUAAUAUAUCUCUAUUAUAUUAAGCGCUAUAUAAACGAAGAAUAUUAUUAUUAUUGGUACCAUCAUUAUCAUAUAACAGUUAUUGCAACUAAGAAGUAAAAGAGGUAAAACAGAAUGCUAAGAAUAGUGAUUAUAGUACUUAACCUUGGUUUUUUAGAUAAAACGCUUUAUAAUAUUUAAACCAACGUUGCCGUCCAAAUAGAUUUUCUCGUUUGCGUCGUGUGACGUUUUCUGUGGUGAAUUGAGUUUGAGUUUCUUUUAGUAAUUAUUUGAUAUAGGCACCGUCAAAUGUAUUGUUAUUCUGUUGUCUGCGUAUAACCGAGCGUAUAAUCUACAGAAAUUAUAAGUUUGAGAAAGUUGGAGAAACGUAUUUAAAAGUACUGCUCACCUGUAAUAAUUAUAACUUAAGAAGGUAAUAUCGUAGAAUGUUCAUUGUUUAUAUUUUUCUUCAUUUUUUCCCUUCUAUUUGAUCGUCUUUGAAAUGUGAGCAAAGUAGCUAAGAAAGUCAUGCCAUUAUGAACAAUAAAAAGUUCAUCAGACAAACAUGAAAA